This 476-nucleotide ribosomal RNA is filed under the name uncultured bacterium. RNAcentral's name for it is "bacterial SSU rRNA". It matches the Rfam family "Bacterial small subunit ribosomal RNA", at positions 915 to 1391 of the family's 1533-position model. The record is from RNAcentral.
GGGGGCCCGCAAGCGGUGGAGCAUGUGGUUUAAUUCGAUGCAACGUGAAGAACCUUACCUACUCUUGACAUCCAGAGAACGUGGCAGAGAUGCUGUGGUGCCUUCGGGAACUCUGAGACAGGUGCUGCAUGGCUGUCGUCAGCUCGUGUUGUGAAAUGUUGGGUUAAGUCCCGCAACGAGCGCAACCCUUAUCCUUUGUUGCCAGCGCGUAACGGCGGGAACUCAAAGGAGACUGCCGGUGAUAAACCGGAGGAAGGUGGGGAUGACGUCAAGUCAUCAUGGCCCUUACGAGUAGGGCUACACACGUGCUACAAUGGCGUAUACAAACAGAAGCGACCUCGCGAGAGCAAGCGGACCUCAUAAAGUACGUCGUAGUCCGGAUUGGAGUCUGCAACUCGACUCCAUAAAGUCGGAAUCGCUAGUAAUCGUAGAUCAGAAUGCUACGGUGAAUACGUUCCCGGGGCCUUGUACACACC